Molecule: ribosomal RNA, 465 nt
Filed under: Vreelandella stevensii
Lineage: Bacteria; Pseudomonadati; Pseudomonadota; Gammaproteobacteria; Oceanospirillales; Halomonadaceae
Description: partial 16S ribosomal RNA
Rfam family: Bacterial small subunit ribosomal RNA
Source: RNAcentral
CCUACGGGUGGCAGCAGUGGGGAAUAUUGGACAAUGGGGGGAACCCUGAUCCAGCCAUGCCGCGUGUGUGAAGAAGGCCCUCGGGUUGUAAAGCACUUUCAGUGAGGAAGAACGCCUGGUGGUUAAUACCCAUCAGGAAAGACAUCACUCACAGAAGAAGCACCGGCUAACUCCGUGCCAGCAGCCGCGGUAAUACGGAGGGUGCGAGCGUUAAUCGGAAUUACUGGGCGUAAAGCGCGCGUAGGUGGCUUGAUAAGCCGGUUGUGAAAGCCCCGGGCUCAACCUGGGAACGGCAUCCGGAACUGUCAAGCUAGAGUGCAGGAGAGGAAGGUAGAAUUCCCGGUGUAGUGGUGAAAUGCGUAGAGAUCGGGAGGAAUACCAGUGGCGAAGGCGGCCUUCUGGACUGACACUGACACUGAGGUGCGAAAGCGUGGGUAGCAAACAGGAUUAGAUACCCGUGUAGUC